RNAcentral lists this ribosomal RNA (183 nucleotides) under uncultured bacterium. Its description in RNAcentral is "partial 16S ribosomal RNA". It matches the Rfam family "Bacterial small subunit ribosomal RNA", at positions 1319 to 1500 of the family's 1533-position model. The record is from RNAcentral.
CAUGAAGCCGGAAUUGCUAGUAAUGGCAGGUCAGCAUACUGCCGUGAAUACGUUCCCGGGCCUUGUACACACCGCCCGUCACACCAUGAGAGUUGGGGAUACCCAAAGCCCGUGAGCCAACUUUUAAAGAGGCAGCGGCCUAAGGUAGAAUCAAUGAUUGGGGUGAAGUCGUAACAAGGUAGC